GGAAACCCCAGUGUCAGAAGGGGAAGGUGCUGCUAAUCGCUGGUUUCCAUGCGUGAGUUUGGGUUAAUUCCAGCAAUGCCAUCCAGGAAACAAAGUCAGCAGAAGCCUUUCCUAUUAAAACUGUCACAGCUUGAUAGGACUCAUUCGACAAAACUAAAAGGGAAACAGCCACCUCGAGCUUCUGUUCACUGUGAGGCAAGAGAUGGGGGGGAGGCAGGAGGGGGUUUUGCAAAUCUGAAAGCGAGAGGAGUUGCUAGUCCACCCGUGACAUGGAGCCAGCAGCAAAGAUCAUCACUGCCAGAGAUGUCUUCAGUCUCAGGGGCUGCUCUGCCUGUGUUGGCACACGAGGCUGUCGGUGGGGCUGCGUGCAUUGGGCAGAACCAGCAGGCUCCGGAUGGUCAGCACGGUACCUCGCAGCCAAAUCAAAUCACAAUUAAAAAAAAAGCUACCCUUCCAACAGCACUACACAGCGUGUGGGUGCAAAUGAAGAGAAGGUGUCAGCUUUGGGCACUGGGGACCAGCUCUGCUAUGUGUGUGCACGAGCCACUUCAGUUCCCUUUCUCCCCAGGCUUUCCUUCAGCAUGCUGA
Molecule: long non-coding RNA, 588 nt
Filed under: Anas platyrhynchos platyrhynchos (common mallard)
Lineage: Eukaryota; Metazoa; Chordata; Aves; Anseriformes; Anatidae
Description: lncRNA (ENSAPLG00000016485.1)
Source: RNAcentral